ACUGGUUUGCAGUCUAGUGCAUGCAAUAUGAAGUCAUGACUAGACUGAUAACCAGCUC
This 58-nucleotide microRNA precursor is filed under the name Ascaris suum (pig roundworm). Lineage: Eukaryota; Metazoa; Nematoda; Chromadorea; Rhabditida; Ascarididae. The record is from RNAcentral.